This 599-nucleotide ribosomal RNA is filed under the name uncultured bacterium. Its description in RNAcentral is "bacterial SSU rRNA". It matches the Rfam family "Bacterial small subunit ribosomal RNA", at positions 122 to 755 of the family's 1533-position model. The record is from RNAcentral.
GAACGUGCCCUUCAGUUCGGGAUAACCCAGGGAAACUUGGGCUAAUACCGGAUACGUGCGAGAGCAGAAAGAUUUAUCGCUGAAGGAUCGGCCCGCGUCUGAUUAGCUAGUUGGUGAGGUAAUGGCUCACCAAGGCGACGAUCAGUAGCUGGUCUGAGAGGAUGAUCAGCCACAUUGGGACUGAGACACGGCCCAAACUCCUACGGGAGGCAGCAGUGGGGAAUAUUGGACAAUGGGCGCAAGCCUGAUCCAGCCAUGCCGCGUGAGUGAUGAAGGCCUUAGGGUUGUAAAGCUCUUUCGUCCGGGACGAUAAUGACGGUACCGGAAGAAGAAGCCCCGGCUAACUUCGUGCCAGCAGCCGCGGUGAUACGAAGGGGGCUAGCGUUGUUCGGAAUCACUGGGCGUAAAGGGCGCGUAGGCGGCUUUGUAAGUCGGGGGUGAAAGCCUGUGGCUCAACCACAGAAUUGCCUUCGAUACUGCGAGGCUUGAGACCGGAAGAGGUUAGUGGAACUGCGAGUGUAGAGGUGAAAUUCGUAGAUAUUCGCAAGAACACCAGUGGCGAAGGCGGCUGACUGGUCCGGAUCUGACGCUGAGGCGCG